Molecule: ribosomal RNA, 433 nt
Filed under: uncultured bacterium
Lineage: Bacteria
Description: partial 16S ribosomal RNA
Rfam family: Bacterial small subunit ribosomal RNA
Source: RNAcentral
AACGAACGCUGGCGGCAUGCCUAACACAUGCAAGUCGAACGAGACCUUCGGGUCUAGUGGCGCACGGGUGCGUAACGCGUGGGAACCUGCCCUUAGGUUCGGCAUAACUCCCCGAAAGGGGUGCUAAUACCGGAUAAUAUCUUCGGACCAAAGAUUUAUCGCCUUUGGAUGGGCCCGCGUUGGAUUAGCUAGUUGGUAGGGUAAAAGCCUACCAAGGCGACGAUCCAUAGCUGGUCUGAGAGGAUGAUCAGCCACACUGGGACUGAGACACGGCCCAGACGCCUACGGGAGGCAGCAGUGGGGAAUAGUGGACAAUGGGCGAAAGCCUGAUCCAGCAAUGCCGCGUGAGUGAUGAAGGCCUUAGGGUUGUAAAGCUCUUUUACCCGGGAUGAUAAUGACAGUACCGGGAGAAUAAGCGCCGGCUAACUCCGUG